GCGCGCAGGCUUUGUUUUUGUUGUGACAUUCGAGACUUGUCAUCCAUUCAUUCGCGUUCAUGGACACGUGUUAUUUAUUAUAUAGGUUAUCAAUUGAACGCGAAUUGUGUUGCGUGUGCCGAAGCUUUCGUCAUGCGUUCUAUUGGUCUGAAAACUUCAGUGCGCGAAAUCGGGUGGGGCCUGAAGCAUAACGCCCGGAACACGCCUCGACAGGUGCAUGCUGGAUCUUAUCAGCACUGAUGCAGUAGGUGCAGCCUCCAUGUAAAGGAAUCCUAUGUUUCUCGGCAAGGCAACCGACGCAGGUGAAAGAGCAAGUUG
This is a long non-coding RNA of Rhipicephalus sanguineus (brown dog tick), 318 nucleotides long. RefSeq lists it as uncharacterized. The transcript is spliced from 3 exons. NCBI's taxonomy places the organism in Eukaryota, Metazoa, Arthropoda, Arachnida, Ixodida, Ixodidae. The record is from RefSeq and is a predicted model, not a curated record.